CCAAUAGCGUAUAUUAAAGUUGUUGCAGUUAAAAAGCUCGUAGUUGAAUUUCGGGCUUGACGUGAUGGUCAUGCCUUAAGGGGUAUGAACUGUUACUGUUGAUUUCUCACCUUCUUGAGCAACUUGAUGUCCUUUAUUUUGUGUCUUGCGGAUCCAGGACCUUUACCUUGCAAAAAUUAGAGUGUUUAAAGCAGGCAUUUUUGCUCGAAUACAUUAGCAUGGAAUAAUAGAAUAGGACGGCAUGGUUCUAUUUUGUUGGUUUCUAGGAUCACCGUAAUGAUUAAUAGGGAUAGUUGGGGGCAUUAGUAUUCAAUUGUCAGAGGGGAAAUUCUUGGAUUUAUUGAAGACUAACUACUGCGAAAGCAUUUGCCAAGGAUGUUUUCAUUAAUCAAGAACGAAAGUUAGGGGAUCGAAGACGAUCAGAUACCGUCGUAGUCUUAACCAUAAACUAUGCCGACUAGGAAUCAGACGAUGUUAAUUUUUUAAUGACUCGUUUGGCACCUUACG
This 507-nucleotide unclassified non-coding RNA is filed under the name uncultured Glomeromycotina. RNAcentral's name for it is "SSU rRNA". It matches the Rfam family "Eukaryotic small subunit ribosomal RNA", at positions 591 to 1092 of the family's 1831-position model. The record is from RNAcentral. Lineage: Eukaryota; Fungi; Glomeromycota.